Molecule: long non-coding RNA, 1516 nt
Filed under: Capra hircus (goat)
Lineage: Eukaryota; Metazoa; Chordata; Mammalia; Artiodactyla; Bovidae
Description: lncRNA (ENSCHIG00010009519.1)
Source: RNAcentral
UUGCUUCUACUGGUCAGUUUACGAAUCUGAUUUCUCUUUAAAGGGGAAACUUUAUCUCUGUAUUCGAUAUUAUACAGCUAAAGUCUGAAUGACGUUAUUGCCAAUGAAAUAAUUAUUUAAACAUAAUUAAACAGAAUUAUUAGAUUAUCUCUAAACAUGCAUAACUUAAUUUACAGGCCACCAUGUAUCACAUUUUCAGUAAAAAUCCAUGGACCUUUCAUGGAUGUUUUGGCCAAAAUUAAAUUUCAAACGUGUGCUUUAGAACAAGAAGUAGAAUCACCUCAAAAGUUUUAGAGAAAAAGUCAGACAUCUCUCAAACACAUGCACAUUUAUAAAACUAUAAUGUGCAUUUGCAUUUUUCUCCAGGAAAAAAAAAAUGAUAGUUUUAUGAUUCUAGAUAAAGUUGCACUGAAACACACUGGGAAACUGAAAGAUUCAGUAUUUUCAUACUUCCGUAACAGAACUGCCUACGAAGUCCACAGGGAGAACAGUACUACGUAGGGUCUAAUUAGUUAAGAAAAAGGCAACUUUAAAAUUCUGAAGACACUUUUAGUCUCCAUCUUUUGUAUUAUCUUAGGAAGCUGGAACACUGCCCCCAAGGAGUGCCGCCCUAUCAGUGCUGUUUUAAGUGGAAAUGGUCAAUCAGUCAUACCUAUUAUUUCCCCAGAAGAGGUAAGGCGAGCCACACGCAUACACAUUUACAUGCGUUGCACCGUGCCAACUAUUUCCAACCGAAAUGAUCAUAUACACGUCGAGCCGAGCUAUUUCCAGCCAGAAGCAGCGAAUGUCUGGACAGAGUCUAAAGAAACCCAACAGGCGAUGACUGCAGAGGGAGGGGCGGCCGCGCGGACCCCCAGCUCUCGCGCGUUCCGGGCGCCCGGCCACCGCACCGGCUCCGGGGCAGGGCAUCUGGGUGCGCGCGCGCGCGUCCGGGACGCUCCCGCCGGGAACAAACAAGCCCCGCGGGCCCAGGCGGGAGGGAGCAUCCUCGGGCGGGACUCGGAAAGCCUUCUCCUACCUGUCACUUAGCCCGGAGCUGCUGCCGGAGAUGCGGCCGCGGCCGCCGCCUGGAGAUCCAGGCUCAACAUUGUGCUAGGAACACAGUGAGGUGGUAAUACAUGUUUGCUGAGCUGAAAAUGAAUGGCCCUGCAAUCCACUGAGGGCUGGAACCAGAACCAGUGAGUUAUUUUUUACUUAUUUGCAGCCUCACAUUACACCUCAAGUGGUCAUUAAGUAAUAUUGAUUGACUCUGUUGUAUAAAUAUCUCUUAAAUCACUCUUUCCAUUCAAGGCUCAGCUUCUCCAACCUCUCCAGGAGGAAUUAAGCUUCUUUUGUUUCCCCAAAGAACCUUGUACAUUUCUAUUCUUAUAGCACUUGCCUCUUAGCCUUUUCUGUGUGUCUGUUUCACCUUAAAGGAGUGUGAAACUCUGGAGGGCAAAAAUCAGGGUUCCAGCUCUUUGUUUUCUUGCAAAAGAGGUAACAGUGUAUAUUUUUGAAAUAGGUAACACAUGCACAA